Molecule: ribosomal RNA, 154 nt
Filed under: Prorodon ovum
Lineage: Eukaryota; Ciliophora; Prostomatea; Prorodontida; Prorodontidae
Description: 5.8S ribosomal RNA
Rfam family: 5.8S ribosomal RNA
About the family: 5.8S ribosomal RNA (5.8S rRNA) is a component of the large subunit of the eukaryotic ribosome. It is transcribed by RNA polymerase I as part of the 45S precursor that also contains 18S and 28S rRNA.
Source: RNAcentral
AAAUUUUCAACGAUGGAUCUCUCGGCUCCAAUAACGAUGAAGAACGCAGCGAAAUGCGAUAUGCAAUGCGAAUUGCAGAACUCCGCGAGUCAUCAGAUUUUCGAACGCAACUGGCGCUGAGAGGAUAUCCUCUUAGCAUGUUUGUUUCAGUGUG